Molecule: ribosomal RNA, 921 nt
Filed under: uncultured bacterium
Lineage: Bacteria
Description: bacterial SSU rRNA
Rfam family: Bacterial small subunit ribosomal RNA
Source: RNAcentral
GCAGCACGGGAGCUUGCUCCUGGUGGCGAGUGGCGAACGGGUGAGUAACACAUCGGAACAUGCCUAGUCGUGGGGGAUACCGUAGCGAAAGUUACGUUAAUACCGCAUACGUCCUGAGGGAGAAAGCAGGGGAUUCGCAAGAACCUUGCGCGAUUAGAGUGGCCGAUGCCUGAUUAGCUAGUUGGUGGGGUAAAGGCCUACCAAGGCGACGAUCAGUAGCGGGUCUGAGAGGAUGAUCCGCCACACUGGAACUGAGACACGGUCCAGACUCCUACGGGAGGCAGCAGUGGGGAAUUUUGGACAAUGGGGGCAACCCUGAUCCAGCCAUUCCGCGUGAGUGAAGAAGGCCUUCGGGUUGUAAAGCUCUUUCAGCGGGAACGAAACGGUACGCGCUAAUAUCGUGUGCUAAUGACGGUACCCGCAGAAGAAGCACCGGCUAACUACGUGCCAGCAGCCGCGGUAAUACGUAGGGUGCGAGCGUUAAUCGGAAUUACUGGGCGUAAAGCGUGCGCAGGCGGAUUGUUAAGCAAGAUGUGAAAUCCCCGGGCUUAACCUGGGAAUGGCAUUUUGAACUGGCAAUCUAGAGUGUGUCAGAGGGGGGUAGAAUUCCACGUGUAGCAGUGAAAUGCGUAGAGAUGUGGAGGAAUACCGAUGGCGAAGGCAGCCCCCUGGGAUAACACUGACGCUCAUGUACGAAAGCGUGGGUAGCAAACAGGAUUAGAUACCCUGGUAGUCCACGCCCUAAACGAUGUCAACUGGUUGUUGGGAGAGUGAAAUCUCUUAGUAACGAAGCUAACGCGUGAAGUUGACCGCCUGGGGAGUACGGUCGCAAGAUUAAAACUCAAAGGAAUUGACGGGGANCCGCACAAGCGGUGGAUGAUGUGGAUUAAUUCGAUGCAACGCGAAAAACCUUACCUACCC